RNAcentral lists this ribosomal RNA (274 nucleotides) under uncultured bacterium. RNAcentral's name for it is "partial 16S ribosomal RNA". It matches the Rfam family "Bacterial small subunit ribosomal RNA", at positions 523 to 796 of the family's 1533-position model. The record is from RNAcentral.
AUACGAAGGUCCCAAGCGUUAUUCGGAAUCACUGGGCGUAAAGAGUACGUAGGCGGUUUGGUAAGUCAGGUGUGAAAUCCCGAAGCUCAACUUCGGAACUGCAUCCGAUACUGCCAGACUAGAGUAAUGGAGAGGCAGGUGGAAUUCUCGGUGUAGCAGUGAAAUGCGUGGAUAUCGAGAGGAAGACCAAUGGCGAAGGCAGCCUGCUGGACAUUUACUGACGCUGAGGUACGAAGGCUAGGGGAGCGAAAGGGAUUAGAUACCCUAGUAGUCC